CACGGGGAGAGAGACGCCGCAAGGCCGCCGCCAUUCGCCAACGCACACAUCCAUCAGGAGAUCCAUCCAUCCACCAACACACACAUCCAUCCAUCUACGCGCCCAGUACUCACCCGCACACCUCUAGCAUCCAGCCAUCACAUCUCAUCCAUCAUCUAUCCACGCACCCAAGAUUCAGGUACAAUGCAGGCAGCCACGCAAACGGGAGACGUCCAGAUCGCAUAGACGGACGAACGCAGCCGGGCAAGAACACCGAUGCCAGCGACAUGGACACCAAGCUCACGUUUCCAAAGGCGAGGAGACCCAAAAAGGAGGAGACGCGCCCGCAGGGUGGCAGCGUCAAGGAAACCGAGGAGGACCGUGUGCUUGUCCAACCCGUAGCCGGGCCAACUGCGGAUCAGGCGACGGCUUCUGCAACGAUGACGGAUGUCCGCCGUCAAGUCCGGCAGAGCCCACGCGCUGCAUCAACAUAAGCAUCCAUCUUCCUCAUAAUCAAUCCCACUGUCUGUUCUCCCUUUUUAUCUCUUAUUUCAGGGGCAGCGAUAACACAUAGUGCGCGCCCUGGCGAAGAGAGGCAACAUGUGUUGCAACAUCAAGGAGAUGGAGAGGACGCGCCCACGACGGUGGCCAGCUCGCCGGGCAACACACAUGCCUCUAGCCAUGUCUGAAGGCGACGGAGGACGUGCCUGUCGCAGUGGCGACGGCCAACCCCGUGAGUCCAGAAGCAAAGGAGCACGGUGAUGAGGGGCCAUGUCCUCUGGCUCGAUCUGUACGCCAGGCUCGAUGGGCGGACCUGCAGUGGCAACACAUGCCCCAGUGGAUGCGAUGCAUCUGAAUGCUUCCAUCAUCUAGCUAUGUUCGUCUUUGCUUUAAGGUCUAACACGCAGAAGGAGCGAAGAGGCCGCAACUAUAUGCACCAACAGCAGUCACGACUAUACGCGCCAAUGAUGACCGUGCACACCUUGCCAAGGAGGGCAACAUGCUCGGUAGCCGGGACGGCCACGGAUGACACGCCGGCAUCCGAGACGACGACGGACGCUCGUCAGCGAGCCCAACGAAACCUUUCAUAUGGCUGCCACACGCAUCCUUCUUUAUCAUUGGCAAUCAUCACACUAUUACUUCUCUCUUUUCAUCUCUCAUUCCAGUGAGGAGAUGAGAUGCACCCGCAUCAGUGGUGCCGAGGAGCGACUACCCAGAGCACUCUACUGGGAGAUGCACACACACAACUAGGAGGCGGUGAGUACACGCGCCGAUGGUGGCCGCGGGCACCGUGCCAAGGAGAACCCUGUCGUGGGUACAGGCGUAGCCGGGACACACCGUCGCGGGUGACCCGCCGGCGGUCACGGCACCCUGCAUGGCAACGAAGGACGCGCACCGGAGAAUGAACCGGCAAAGCUCCCUUCAAUCUGCACCAACAAUUGCAUCCUGAAAUACCCGGAUGUGCAUUCUCCCAUCUACACCGACACAAGACGCCCCGACGACUGCAACUCCAUGGACGUGCCAGGCGCCACGAUGUCGACGGCAGUGAGGCUGUCGGUGACUAGCUUGGCGCCAACUCCACCUCGGCGGUGACGUGGAAGGUAUAGCCGGCGUGCGGCCCGGUGCCAUCUACACCGCCACGACAACAUCGAAGCUGCUGGCCCGCAGCCAGGUGCCAUAUCCAACAUGCCGGCAUACAACCCCUGCGCCAUGUACACCUCCAUGGCUGUUGGGUCAACCUUGGUCUUCCGGUGCACGCAACGGCAGCAGCAGCAUUUACGUCUUAGAUGCAUGCAUGGCUGCAUGUCAGCACGGCAGCAAGUAAAAUCUUUUUUACUAGCAAGAGCAGCAGGCGUGCCUUAGUAGCUAAGUAGUAAGAGGUCAGCAGUGACGUAGUUCACUUGUUUGUCGUCAGCCUAUGCGUAGUAUAGUCGGUUCAUUACACUAUAUCUAGGGCCGAUGCCCAUCGUUGUAAGCAAGGCCGUUUCAUUUCUAUCCAGCCAAGCCUCAAGUGUAGUACUACUACAUAUGCGUGUGUGUGUGUGUGUAAGCAGCACUUGCAAGUGUGCUUUGCCAUUCUGCUUGUUGCUUCGGUAGUAUACUUGAGUGCAAGUAGUAGUAGGCUAGUACCACACAGUCGCUGCCCUAUGUAGUUCAUCUCAUCCUCGACUUCGUCCGAUCCUGAGUAGCCAGCUACUCUGUACGUAGUUUGGGCCAACAAUGGCGUUGUCACAGGGGUCGCCGGCAUGCAGCCCAGUGUCCUCACCAUCUACCUCAACAGUGCAUCUGACAAGUGGGCAAUGGAACCUCCACAGAGACGGUGGCGGGAACGAUCGGAGCUUGCUUGCGUAUGGCCGGCUGCUAACUCUGCCCUCACACUACCUCACCAAAUAUGAAGAUUACGCGAUGGGGCUGCCAGCUAGUGAUCCGGCCUUGCCGUGGACUACGGCUUGCCCUUUUGUCUUCUUCAUGUCUUCAUCAACCAUCUCCUAGCAUGAGAUGCACUCCGUUUCAAUCCACGUUGUCUCCCUAACGAUGGCAAACGACAACCGUUACACGCAUGCGCCCUGAGGCAGCGACCACGCGCGCCAACGAAGGUUAUGCCGAGGUAGGAACUGUCGGCAUCCACAUGUAGACGUCUUCAACCAGCCAAGAGAUGUCUACAUACUCACGCAUAUGGCAUCAAUUAAUCCAACAUGUCGUUCAAGUCAAACCAAGGUAAUUAAACAUUGAUUUAUACAAUAUUUUGCAUAGUACAGGCAUAUGUAUUUUUAGGUACUGGAUGAUUUAGCAACAUUAAGCAUCAUCACCAUCAUUCUGGGACGCGUGCCCGCAAAGCCAGAACCAGAUGUGUCUCCAUGGACAUCAUUGAGUGGGUGACAUCAACAUGUCACACCACUCAGCAACCGCGGCGCUCGAGCCAUCCUCUACAACUUCCAUGUUCAGCACUCACAACUACACCAGGGCCAUCGACAUCAACCCCUGGCUCGAUGAGGAGGACCGCUACAUCAACAUGUUGUCACCAUCUUCAUCGGCUUUACACCCGGCGUGGAUGCCGACUACACCGACAUGCCGCCAUUCGACUACAUCGACACGGUGCAUCGGUCUCCAUCUUCAUCAACUCUUCAUCUCGCGAGGACGCCGACUACACCAGCAAGCUGCCAUUAUUCAACGCCAACCGUCUACACCAAGCGGAGGUCGUCCCCGUAACUGCGACGUCCCUAGGUCUACAUCGACAUGCUCAUAUUGUCGUCAUCUUCAAGCAACGCUGCCACACGGCGACACUCAAGUCUACUCCGACUUCUACAUCAACACCUUUCCCCAACAUCGUCCAAGCUCCGACGAGGCGAAGCCAGUUCACCGACAUGUCUCUCUUCCGAUGAAGCUACCCGUAUCUUGCCGGGCACUGACGAGGCGAAGGCAAGACACACACAGUCCGACACCGACGAGGUGGACACCACCAGGCCGGGCACCGACGAGGAGAAGGCCACCCAUCUGUCUGAGCUGAUGAGGCCAGACAUCUUCAUCAUGGACAUCGACAAGCCGGAGGGAUACAGCUAAGUAUCGCCGGAUCGACGGACGUACCGCUCCACCCUUCUAUGCCACCACAUCAUCACCAACCUUCCUGACGAGAAGGUCUUCACCGUCGACCUCGAUGCACCAUGGGAGCUCUACUUUGACGGCGCCUCCCGCACGGACGCCGACGCUGACGGAGCCCGAAGGUGAAGGGCAGGCGCAUGUUCGGUGUUCAAGAUGCUGCAAGGAGGGGUGAUGUAUCACUCAUUUUCCCUCCUCAAAGAAGAAUGCUCAAAUAAUGAAGCGGAGUAUCAGGCACUCA
This is a long non-coding RNA of Triticum urartu, 3817 nucleotides long. RefSeq lists it as uncharacterized. The record is from RefSeq and is a predicted model, not a curated record. Lineage: Eukaryota; Viridiplantae; Streptophyta; Magnoliopsida; Poales; Poaceae.